CCUACGGGAGGCAGCAGUGAGGAAUAUUGGUCAAUGGGCGCGAGCCUGAACCAGCCAAGUAGCGUGAAGGAUGACUGCCCUACGGGUUGUAAACUUCUUUUAUAAAGGAAUAAAGUGAGGCACGUGUGCCUUUUUGUAUGUACUUUAUGAAUAAGGAUCGGCUAACUCCGUGCCAUCCGCCGCGGUAAUACGGAGGAUCCGCGCGUUCUCCGGAUUUAUUGGGUUUAAAGGGAGCGUAGAUGGGUGGUUAAGUCAGUUGUGAAAGUUUGCGGCUCAACCGUAAAAUUGCAAGUGAUACUGGCAGACUUGAGUACAGUUGAGGUAGGCGGAAUGCGUGGUGUAGCGGUGAAAUGCUUAGAUAUCACGAAGAACUCCGAUUGCGAAGGCAGCCUACUAAACUGCCACUGACAUUGAUGCUCGAAAGUGUGGGUAUCAAACAGGAUUAGAGACCCGAGUAGUC
Molecule: ribosomal RNA, 460 nt
Filed under: uncultured bacterium
Lineage: Bacteria
Description: partial 16S ribosomal RNA
Rfam family: Bacterial small subunit ribosomal RNA
Source: RNAcentral